Nymphalis io (European peacock) is the source of this 5704-nucleotide RNA transcript. It is a transcript of the gene named 3-hydroxy-3-methylglutaryl-coenzyme A reductase, with no coding region annotated. NCBI's taxonomy places the organism in Eukaryota, Metazoa, Arthropoda, Insecta, Lepidoptera, Nymphalidae. The record is from RefSeq and is a predicted model, not a curated record. The transcript is spliced from 3 exons.
GUAGAGCACCAGUUCCUUCUAUUAGUGUUGAUUAGUUUGUGAACGUCACUUCACAUCAAAAAUGUCGAAAAGUGUGUCAAAGCAAUUUCAUUUCACAAUUUACGAAUAUUGAAGCGUUACUUCGCUCGCGAAAUAAAACGUUCGCGUUCAAGAAUCGAGUGCUUUUAUCAAUUUCCAUUAAACACUUUGGAAGUAAAUUAAAUACCUGAUAUCAGCUGCUAGGCAGCAUAAACAGCUAUAAUGAAAGUGUGGGGUGCUCAUGGCGAGUUUUGCGCCCGACAUCAAUGGGAGGUAAUCGUAGCCACUUUGGCUCUUUUGGCCUGUGCUGCUAGUGUGGAAAGACAUGGCACAGGUACACGAGCUGAACGAUGCGCAGGUUGGGCGAGAGCUUGUCCAGGACUUGAAGCGGAAUACCAAGCAGCUGAUGCGGUCAUAAUGACCUUCGUACGUUGUGCGGCUCUGCUCUACGCUUAUUACCAAGUUUCAAAUCUCCAGAAAAUUGCUUCGAAAUACCUUCUCAUCAUUGCUGGUGUCUUCUCAACAUUUGCCAGUUUCAUCUUUACGUCAGCCCUUGCAAGUUUAUUUUGGAGUGAACUAGCCAGCAUAAAAGAUGCUCCGUUUUUGUUUUUACUCGUUGCUGAUGUUGCCAGAGGAGCGAGAAUGGCAAAAGCCGGUUGGAGUGCAGGUGAAGAUCAGGGCAAGAGGGUAGGGAAAGCUCUUUCUCUACUCGGGCCGACAGCGACGUUAGAUACACUUCUAGCGGUUCUCCUCGUCGGCGUUGGUGGUUUAUCAGGCGUUCCUAGAUUGGAACAUAUGUGUACAUUCGCCUGCUUGGCGUUAUUAGUGGACUAUUUAGUAUUUGUUACAUUUUAUCCCGCUUGUCUGUCACUGGUAGCAGAUUUCGCUUCUGGUCGAAAAGAAAUGGGAACGGACGGUCCUUUUUCUGAAACUGAUUUAAAACCAAACCCAGUUGUGCAAAGAGUGAAAAUGAUUAUGGCUGCUGGGUUACUUUGUGUUCACUUAACUAGUAGAUGGCCCUGGACUAGAGAGAACGGUAUGAUAGAAGGAUCUUUGACUAACGAUUUUAAGUCUGGAUCGCAUGAGAAUGUUCUUUUCCACUCAUAUGUCAAAUGGUUUUCAGUGAGCGCAGAUUACAUCGUUAUAGCAACGUUGCUGUGCGCUUUAAUUAUUAAAUUCAUCUUUUUUGAGGAACAAAAAAAUUGGAUAAUUGACAUGAACGAUUUAACAGUUAAAGAGGUUGUGAAACGCAACAGUAAACCGAAGUUUUCGGUUGGUGAAGAUAUCAAGUCUGACAUGCAUACGCAAACGGAUGACUUGCUGAAUUGUGAAGAAUCAGAGUGGCCUCUACUUUCGCCUAGUUCUUCAGCCGCUAGACUUAAUUCUAAAAAGCGCCCAAUGGCAGAAUGUUUAGAGAUAUAUCGGUCAGAAGGUGUCUGUACAUCUCUUAGCGACGAUGAAGUUGUAAUGCUUGUUGAACAGUCACAUAUACCUUUACACAGGCUUGAAAAUGUCUUAAACGAUCCUUUACGAGGCGUUAGAUUACGUAGGAGAGUCAUAUCCUCGAGAUUCCAAACGGAAGUUGGUAUAAAACAACUACCGUAUCUAAAUUAUGAUUACAGUAAAGUUUUGAACGCUUGCUGUGAAAACGUUAUAGGAUACGUUGGUAUCCCGGUUGGAUUUGCUGGUCCGUUAGUUGUGGAUGGUAAAGCGUACAUGAUCCCAAUGGCUACAACUGAAGGCGCCUUAGUUGCGUCCACAAACAGAGGCGCAAAAGCCAUUGGUACCAGAGGCGUCACUAGUGUUGUUGAAGAUAUCGGAAUGACAAGAGCUCCUGCUGUCAAGUUACCCAACGUCGUACGCGCACAUGAAUGCCGCCAGUGGUUAGACAAUAAAGACAACUACGCAAUCAUAAAAGAAGCAUUUGAUUCAACAUCAAGGUUUGCUCGUCUUCAAGAAGUCCACGUUGGUGUUGAUGGAGCAACCCUGUAUUUAAGAUUCAGAGCUACCACUGGCGACGCUAUGGGUAUGAAUAUGGUAUCCAAGGGUGCUGAAAAUGCUCUGAAGUUACUUAAGAACUUCUUCCCUGAUAUGGAAGUAAUCAGUCUUUCUGGUAACUACUGUUCUGACAAGAAGGCUGCCUCGAUUAAUUGGGUAAAGGGAAGAGGGAAAAGAGUCGUUUGCGAAACUACAAUAUCAGCUGAAAACUUAAAAAAUAUCUUCAAAACUGACGCUAAAACAAUGACUCGAUGCAACAAAAUUAAAAACCUAUCCGGAUCGGCGUUAGCGGGCUCCAUUGGUGGGAAUAAUGCUCACGCGGCGAAUAUGGUGACAGCUAUAUUUAUAGCAACGGGGCAAGAUCCGGCUCAGAACGUAACAAGCAGUAAUUGUUCGACAAAUAUGGAAGUUUGCGGUGAAAAUAGAGACGAUCUCUACAUAACAUGUACUAUGCCUUCGCUAGAAGUGGGUACAGUAGGUGGUGGUACUGUUUUGACAGGACAAGGAGCUUGCUUACAAAUCCUCGGUGUGAAAGGAGCCGGUGCACGUCCUGCUGAGAAUUCAGCCAGAUUAGCUUCUCUCGUUUGCGCCACCGUUUUAGCUGGAGAAUUAAGCCUGAUGGCUGCUCUAGUCAAUUCCGACUUAGUUAAAUCACAUAUGCGUCACAACAGAUCAACAGCGAACGUUGCAAAUGUGACAAACGAUAUGACUUUAAAAGUACCAAAGUUAUAACAUUGGUUACGUUAGUCAAGAUAAAGGAGAGUAAUGCUUACAUCAAUAAUUAAGUAAUUAAGGUAUUACCAUCGGAAAUUACCAAAAAUCGUACACUGCCCUCUAUACACCGAUAACUUGGAUUACAGACCGAAUAGUUUAUGACGUGUGUUAAAUUUUUUUAAUAAAAUAUGUGUCGUAUUACAAUGGAACCUCAUAUAAACUAAUCCAGUGUGCACGAGGCUAAAGUAAAAAAUUGGACCCAGAACUGUUCCCUGUGAAAUACCCGGUGAUGUAAACGUAAGAAUUGUAAAUAACGCUUCGCCUUUAAACUUCAAACGAUACAAAUCAAUAUAUUAUUGGAUCCUUCGCGGAUGUUCGCAGAACGACUCUCCGAAGUUACACCACAUUCGGAUGAAUGGUUGAGCAACGGAUUGAGGACAAACAUACAGAGACAUUUUUAUUUAAUAAGAUUCGUAAACUAAGCCAUUCUGUAACAAUCUUGAAACCUGUCGCAGUACACGAUCGUGAAAUGUCAGAAAAGUAGCGAUAUUGACUAUAAAUAUUGUUAUCAAAGUUAAAGAAUUCAAAUCAUAUCACCUAAGUUGGUUUUCAACAUUUCACGAAUGACGUACGAAGUGAGUUCCUCGAAACGGCAAUACAGGACUAAUCUAAACAUUGUACGUACGUAUUUGAGUUUGCAUAUUUAUAUUCUUAUAAAAUCUUUUGUCCUAACUAACGAUUAAACCACAGCGAAAACUGCUGAGUUUUGAAACAAUUUUAAUUUUUUAUAAUAUAAGCAUCGCCUAAUUAAAGAUUUUUGGAAAUUUCAACUUUAACUAUUUUAAAUUUGACCCGUACGAAAACUAGAGGGGCUUCUAUAUAUAUACAUAAUAUAUUGAAUCAUUUUACUAAAAUUCAUUGAAUGUAAUUUAAAUAAGCUGUAUCCAUAUUUGUAUGAUGAGUAAAACAAAUUAUUAUUUUAAUAAAUGCAACGCUCUGUUAUACGUCAUAUUCUUGUAACCGUUGACUUUCGUCUUACGCGUCGUAAUUCGAUUUGCACCGAAUACAAAACAAGUGCAUUGCGUCAUGAUACUAUAAAUAAAAUGGCAUUUUGUAUUAAAAUCAAUUAAAGGUCCUUCGGGAAACCUAUUCCGUUAAAAGUUAUGAUAACUUGAUGGGAAAAUAUUUUAAAUAUAGUUUCAAUUAAAAUUUAUGUUUCUUUAUUCAAUAUAGCAAUAAGCAUUACACUUAUUUAUCUGAGACAAAAUAUGCUGUCUUUAUUUAAAAGAAAAUAAAAUUCGCGGUAAAUUAUUUUGUUUCUCUUUAUAUUACUUAACAUUCUAUACUAUACUCUGAACCGAUGAAUAUGACUAAAUAACAAAAGAAAUUUCGAAUAUAAUCAUAUUUGUACUUAAAAAAAAUAGCUUUUUUAUUUGACUAUAUGCAAAAGGUACAAAACAUCAUGCCUUUAUUGAUAUGUUAAUCAUUUUAUUCUAUUAAAUCAUUAAACUCCAUCAUUGUGACAACCCACUAGGAAACUAGACAGAAAUAGGUAAAAAAAUUGUAAUUUAUUUCGUACAAGACUUGUUCAUAAGUUAAAAGUAAGAGUGAAGUCACCAGUCAUUAAGUUUGAGUUAACGAUAAGGCAGGGACUGUCACCGACCUACAAUUUUUUUUAAAUUACAUGAUUGUUGUAACGAAUGCUUAAAAAUCGGUUUUAUGAAAUGAAGACGUUUGGUAUAAAAUGUUAAAAAAAAAUCCAUUAGGUGUUGCUCAAAAUGUUUACGAUUAAAAUUUUUCCUAAUAUUAUUAUUUAAUUUUAAAUAUAAUAUUUAAACAGUAUUUAAAAAACAAAUUCUAAAUUUAUAUAUAAUAUCCGUUUAAAGGUUAAGUCUUCAUGCGUUAUCACUAUCAGCUGUUGGUCUAUCGACACAUUAUUAUUAUCAAUUUAUCUUCUACCACAAUUGACUCUGAGAUAAAUAAGUUAUAUAAUUCAAAUAUGGUUUUAUAAUAAGUGUUAUACUAAAAGGUUAAAAUUAUUAACUUUUCCUUGUAAUUAUCGUAAAAUUCAGUUCACAUAUCUUGUGCCUGACUCGUAUGUUUAUUUAAAACAUAUUUAAAUGGAGUGGGUUUAUAUUUAUUUUACUUAACAAUUUUAUAUUUACGCUAGUCAAUAAAAAUGUAUAUGGUUACACUUUGUAAUUAAAAAAAAAAACAGAUUAUUUUGCGCCUUUUUAAAUGUCAAAUAAUGUCUAAAAAAAUGGUCAUUUGUCACCAUUACAAUGUUAAUAUUUUAAUAAAAUUAGUUACAAUAACUUGUAUAAAAUGUAAAGAUCGUAAAACCUAUAUAGUUUUAAUUACAUUAGUAAAUGUAAUUAAAUAACAUCUAAUAUAUUCAUUAAAGGCGGUCAAUGUAUGAUCAGUGUUAUGAAAUAGCUUGCCUUAUUUUGGUUUAGCUUAGCUAAGCAUUCGAUAUUAUGUUCUGAUUGUUUUUAAUAUUGACUGUAAUCAUUUUUAAAAUCAUACAAAAGAAAGAGAUAGCAAGCAUAAGCAAUAUAUUUUAGUUGUUACAUUGUUUAGAUUUUAAAGAAUGUGUAGAGUAAAAUGUUUAACGAUAUUAUAUUUGAAUAAUUUUCGGAAUGACCGAAUCUACGUACUUAAUUGAAAUUACUGUAUUGAAUUGUGUUUAAAAACCUAGGUUUGAUGUUUAUUUGAAUAACCCAGAUAAAACAUAUUGUUUUUUAUAUUAUUGUAUUUUUCAUAAAAUAAUAAUUAAUAAGUAGGAGUGGAUGCGGGGUUGUUACCUGGAAAUCUCUCGUGAGGUAUAAUUUGGACUAUAAUUAUUAUGUAAUAAGCUAAUAAAUUAAUAAGCUAAAUGUCUGUCUUCCAAAAUAAAAUUCCUAGUACAUAUAUUUAAUUUGACGUACAUAAUGCUGCGUAGAUGAAUGUUAGGGCUCUGUUGAUUAAAUGUAUA